Molecule: long non-coding RNA, 881 nt
Organism: Salvia splendens (bonfire salvia)
Lineage: Eukaryota; Viridiplantae; Streptophyta; Magnoliopsida; Lamiales; Lamiaceae
Exons: 2
Source: RefSeq, a predicted model, not a curated record
UACAACCCCUUCGACCCGGGAUAUGCUCCAUGACCCGCAUGCAUUUAAGAUACCAACCUAACAAAGCGAGAUGAGCCUACCCAGCAAAUCUCCCCCGAUAGCACACUAUGUUAUUGUUCCGGUGAGGGGACUUUGAGCAGCAUUGUCUAUUACACCAUUCCCCUUCUUCCCCCUUCCAUCGAUUUUAGCCCCAAUUUCAAUUGAUUUCAGCCCACGGUCCUCAUUACCCACGGCGGCUGACGUUUGUACGUACAACAACUGCGCCGACGAAUUUAGUGCGUUCGACCUAUCUGAGGCAUUUAUCGGCGGAUAAGCUCGAUUCUAGAUUGAAUCUCCAUGGCUGUUGAAGAUGACGAUCCUAAGGUACACCCAUUGCAUCAGUCAUCCACUUCGAAUUGUUUUGAAUUUCGUCUAUUUGUACCCAAUUUCGCAAAAUUGACGACGACUACGCGUGGGAUUACAUGGCACGAUUUGGCCUGGGUUUAAGUUUGGAAGCUGAUAAUGGAAUUUGCCGACGAUUGCCUUCAAUUAUGUUGGGUGACUGGAUUUUUAAGUUAUGGGUGUCAAUUGCAUUAUACGUCUUGAUAGAAACAUGAAUGUUGGCUUUGAUGUUAGGAAUUAGUUCACAAUUGGGCAGGAUCGAAUAGUGAGUGAAUGGUUUCGUUAAUUGAGUGUCUUUUGAUUUCGAACGUAUGCUGCGUAUCAGGAACGAAUAGAUGGGCAUUCACACUUGAUUAUACAUACAAUUAACUAAUACCAGCUUGUGUAGAAGUUCUUGUGUUUAGUGAUGAUUCUUUGUUCAUAAGCCUAUUGUGUGUGUCAAACAUUCGACAAGAUUCUGGGACAUUGUGAAGUUUAUGAUCUCUGCAUUCACUUGCAAA